Molecule: non-coding RNA, 209 nt
Organism: Arachis ipaensis
Lineage: Eukaryota; Viridiplantae; Streptophyta; Magnoliopsida; Fabales; Fabaceae
Source: RefSeq, a predicted model, not a curated record
AGUUAUACUUUUCAGGGCAGUGAAGGUGACUGUUUUUAUGUUGUUGGUAGUGGAGAAUUUGAAGUCUUGGCAACUCAGGAAGAAAAAGAUGGGGAAGUAACCAAGGUUUUACAGCAUUACACAUCGGAAAAACUAUCAUGCUUUGGAGAGCUUGCUCUAAUGUCAUUCAAGUUUACUCAAGUUCACAUAUUCGUUGAGGACUAUAAUCC